AGAGUGAACGCUGGCGGUAGGCCUAACACAUGCAAGUCGAACGGCAGCACGGUAAGAGCUUGCUCUUAUGGGUGGCGAGUGGCGGACGGGUGAGGAAUACAUCGGAAUCUACCUUUUGGUGGGGGAUAACGUAGGGAAACUUACGCUAAUACCGCAUACGCCCUUCGGGGGAAAGCCGGGGACCAGCAAUGGCCUGGCGCUGAUAGAUGAGCCGAUGUCGGAUUAGCUAGUUGGUGAGGUAAUGGCUCACCAAGGCGACGAUCCGUAGCUGGUCUGAGAGAUGAUCAGCCACACUGGAACCUGAGACACGGUCCAGACUCCCUACGGGAGGCAGCAGUGGGGGAAUAUUGGACAAGUGGGCGCAAGCCUGAUCCAG
This 376-nucleotide ribosomal RNA is filed under the name uncultured soil bacterium. Its description in RNAcentral is "bacterial SSU rRNA". It matches the Rfam family "Bacterial small subunit ribosomal RNA", at positions 26 to 391 of the family's 1533-position model. The record is from RNAcentral.